This is a long non-coding RNA of Oncorhynchus keta (chum salmon), 581 nucleotides long. RefSeq lists it as uncharacterized. The transcript is spliced from 3 exons. The record is from RefSeq and is a predicted model, not a curated record. NCBI's taxonomy places the organism in Eukaryota, Metazoa, Chordata, Actinopteri, Salmoniformes, Salmonidae.
GGGGUGGCAGGUAGCCUAGUGGUUAGAGGGGUGGCAGGUAGCCUAGUGGUUAGAGGGGUGGCAGGUAGCCUAGUGGUUAGAGGGGUGGCAGGUAGCCUAGUGGUUAGAGGGGUGGCAGGUAGCCUAGUGGUUAGAGGGGUGGCAGGUAGCCUAGUGGUUAGAGCAGGUAGCCUAGUGGUUAGAGGAGGUAUAUAUAGAGGGGUGGCAGGUAGCCUAGUGGUUAGAGGUGUGGCAGGUAGCCUAGUGGUUAGAGGUGUGGCAGGUAGCCUAGUGGUUAGAGGGGUGGCAGGUAGCCUAGUGGUUAGAGCAGGUAGCCUAGUGGUUAGAGACAGGUAGCUAAGUGGUUAGAGCAGGUAGCCUAGUGGUUAGAGCAGGUAGCCUAGUGGUUAGAGCAGGGAGCCUAGUGGUUAGAGACAGGUAGCCUAGUGGUUAGAGGGGUGGCAGGUAGUCUAGUGGUUUGAGGGGUGGCAGGUAGCCUAGUGGUUAGAGCAGGUAGCCUAGUGGUUAGAGCAGGUAGCCUAGUGGUUAGAGACAGGUAGCUAAGUGGUUAGAGCAGGUAGCCUAGUGGUUAGAGCAGGUAG